Long non-coding RNA from Oncorhynchus masou masou (cherry salmon), 1738 nucleotides. RefSeq lists it as uncharacterized. Lineage: Eukaryota; Metazoa; Chordata; Actinopteri; Salmoniformes; Salmonidae. The transcript is spliced from 2 exons. The record is from RefSeq and is a predicted model, not a curated record.
AUCCUCCACUUCCGCCUCCACAUCCGCUUCAAUAAAACUAGAACCAUGGUUUUACUUAUUUCCUAAUACAAAAUCAUGUCUCCAGAUAUGUGUACAUCAACAUUUAUGGUAUAUUUGUUGUAGUUUUGUAAGGUACUCCGUUCUUAACCAAGUGGGGGAAAAAACAUCCUCACAAAUCGCGCUUUCAAGACCACUCAGAUUCGGGGGGGAAAAGAGGUCAAAUCGUGACGUAAGGGAUAUUGAGGUCGGAGAAUUCGGAGCUCGAGGACGAUCCAAUUUUCCGACUUGGAAUUUCGAGUUGGAUGACCGUUCAAAACAAAUUUUCCAAUUCCAAACACAUUUUUUCCGAAUUGCAAGUUGUAUUGAACACACUGAGGUCAAAUGUCGGAGAUUCCCGAGUUUCCAGUUGAAUGGAACGCUGCAUGAGCUCCGACUUUUCUCCCAUUAUGCCCUCUUCGUUUUUUUAUGUAACUAGGCAAGUCAGUUAAGAACAAAUUCUUAUUUAUUUCUAAACCGGGACAACGCUGAGCCAAUUGUGCGCCGCACUAUGGGACUCCCAAUCACAGCCAGUUGUGAUACAGCCUGGAUUCGAACCAGAGUGUUUGUAGUGACGCCUCUAGCACUGUAUCAGGAAAUGAAAGCAGUAUCAGGAAAUCUCCAUAACAGAUUUUUCGGCAGACUAGAAGACACUGGGUAUCUCUCCUCUGAUGGCUGCCAUGAAUGGUCACGUCCCUGCGGUCAAGCUGCUGCUGGACAUGGGCUCAGACAUCAACACUCAGAUCAAGACUAAACGUAACACAGCACAGACCCUGGCCUGCCAACGUGGAGCACUGCGUCAAGGUGAGAGCAGCCAUCAUCGGCUGAACCUGACAUGGUAUGUUAUCUGGGCUAGAGUCAAAGACAUUAGGAAUGAUGUUUGGUGUUAGACUGUUUGGUGCAGUAUGUCACUGACCCAUACCUUCUCUCUGAUUGGUCAAACUCCUCUCAUGGAGGCUGUGUCAGAUGGCUAUACUAAGAUGGGGCUUGUGCUACUGGACAAGAGCGCUUACGUCACCUGUCCAAACCUCCCAAGACACCGUGUGCACCAUUGCUGCAGACAAGGGCCACUACAAGUUCUGUGAGCUCCUCAUCAACACGUAAUUACUGUUACAGUCUACCUUCAGUAUGAGAGUGAUUUCAGUCAGAAUACCAUUCCUCUCCAGUUUCAUUGCUCAGACCUGCAACUCGUCUCUGAGUGAGUUAUUACAGUGUUAUAACCAGCAGUGUGUGUAGUUCGGCAUUUGCUUCUUGCUAAAGUCCAAACUAUUCACAUUUCCUCUCUCCUUUAGUCUGGUCCAUCUCAGAGCUGUGACCAAUCAAAUAAAUUCAAAUCAAAGUUUAUUGUGCACCGAAUACAACAGGUGUUGUAGACCUUAUAGUGAAAUGCUUACUUACAACCCUCAUAUCCCGGGCAUAACAUGUGACUUCAAUCUGAGUGAAUAUGUAUUCUGUUGUAGAUGGUGCUCUGCUCCCUACCCUGUGAUUUGUUGUAUGAAUUGCUGUGAUUUGAGGCUGUAGUUUAUGUUUUAUUUUUAUUUUAUUUGUGUGUAUAAAGGAACACUGCUGUGGUGGCUGUGUGGCUCAGGGCUAUGUUCCCUACUCCCUACAAAGCAUUUUGUUGUAUAAAUUGUAAUAAUAUAAUUUUUUUCUUGUUUUUCUUCUUUUGUUUUUUGGUAUAAAAUAUAAUUCUGAGCAAUGA